This 995-nucleotide ribosomal RNA is filed under the name uncultured bacterium. Its description in RNAcentral is "bacterial SSU rRNA". It matches the Rfam family "Bacterial small subunit ribosomal RNA", at positions 1 to 972 of the family's 1533-position model. The record is from RNAcentral.
CCCAUAAGCGUGCGCAUAAAUACCGCCAGCGAAACGUUUAAAAUGCCAAGAGGCCAUAAAAACCUAGCAAACGUUAAACUGCAAGUCAGCGAUAUCCCAUAGGGAACUAGACGGCCACGGGCAAUAACGCGUAGAAUACUUCCCUAAGACAAAAAGCCCCGGAAAUCGGGACAAUACGGGCCGUAUAUAGAUAUAAAGACCCUUACAAAGUAACGGCGCCAAAAAAGGACUGCGCCCGAUAUCUAGUUGGUAGGGUAACGGCCUACCAAGGCUACCAUUAGUAGGGGGCGUGAGAGCGUGCCCCCCCACACGGGUACUGAAACACGGACCCGACUCCUACGGGAGGCAGCAAUAAGGAAUAUUGGUCAAUGGACGAAAGUCUGAACCAGCCAUCCCGCGUGCAGGAUGGAGGUCCUAUGGAUUGUAAACUGCUUUUAACAGAAAAAAAAAGCAUCCUUUUAAGGGUGUCUGACGGUAUCUGCGGAAUAAGCACCGGCUAACUCCGUGCCAGCAGCCGCGGUAAUACGGAGGGUGCAAGCGUUAUCCGGACUCACUGGGUUUAAAGGGUGCGUACGCAGAAUAUUAAGUCAGUGGUGAAAGCCUGUCGCUUAACGAUAGAACUGCCAUUGAUACUGAUAUUCUUGAAUUGGGGUUGAGGUUAGCGGAAUGUGACAUGUAGCGGUGAAAUGCAUAGAUAUGUCAUGAACACCAAUUGCGAACGCAGCUAGCUGGGCCUUGAUUGACGCUGACGCACGAAAGCGUGGGUAGCGAACAGGAUUAGAUACCCCUGGUAGUCCACGCCCUAAACGAUGCUUAACUUCGAUGUUUGGAACUUUAGGGUUUGAGCAUCCAAGGAAAACCGAUUAGUUCAGCCCACCCUGGGGGAGUACCGACCCGCGAGGAUGAUACUCAAAGGUAUUUGGACGGGUGCGUUCAGCACAGCGGUAGCAACAUGGUGGUUUAAGUCCGAAUGGAAUACCGCCGAGAGAAACCCU